CCGGCGAGGGCAGAAGAAGAAGACGGUAUUUGGGAUUUGGCGGUCGCGGUGAAAGGGGUGGGUCGAGCGGUACCUUCGCCUGCUCCGGGGAGUGGGCGGCGGCGGCACCUUCGUCUUGUUCAGCCGGCACCGGCAGCUCCGGAGCAGUCCGGGCGAGCGGAGGCGGCGGCGCGCGGAGAGUCGGGCGAGGGCGCGCUAGGGAGGCCGGGCGCUGAAGGUAAAGAUGUUGUUGAAGGGGAGGAAGUUCAGGGGGCAGCGGCGGCGGCGGCGGUCCCGGCUCAGGAGGGACCCGCCGGAGCCGCGAAGGUGCGAGGAAGGGUUCGUCGUCGUCGUCGUCGGCGGAAAGGGGUGCCUCCUGGAGCUGCUGCGGAUGCUGACCGAGCAGCGGGCGUUACUGCUGGACGAGCUCUACAAACGGCGGAGGCGCCUGCUCAAGUUCCGCGACGCCCUCUUCCUCCUCCGGGUCCCUGCCUUCCAGCGCCGUCUUCUCUACCGCCCCCUGCCCAAGGUCCAACAGAUGCCGUUCUUCUUCUUCUUCUACCCAUACCCUCUCCUUCCUCAACCGUCUUCACUCCGGAAACCUAGAAGACCAAGCCACUCCUACCGGUGGUACCUAUCCCGACGUCGUAGUCCCGGUUUCGGCUUCCACGGGAAGGUGUAGGGGUGGUAGGGUGCGGGCGUCCUGCACGUGGCGUAACACCACCUGUUGUGCUCGUUCGGUAAGCUGGUACGGAAGGAACUCGCGUCACUACUACCACGGGCACGGUAUGUGGGUGACCUUUUUGAGGGGUACCUCGUUGAUAAACUGUCCGCACAAGGACUUUCACUCGGUAAUUUCGGUGGACGAAAUCUACUGUGGGGAAAAUGUAAACAACUUCUGGCCUUUUGGAACCUUCACAACCACUGUUUCGACUUCUCACGUUGACUCAAACGACAACUAAACCUUGUGUUGGUGAUAUCCAGAAAAGUCCCAGAGUGGACGGACUACGUCUAAAGUUGAUCUUGACUCCUGAAAUAACAUCUAUGAGAAUUCGAGGCGUUAACAGAACCACUCUUGAACUCUCUUCAAAAAGUUCUAGGUUGAUUCUUCUUCCAUUACGUACCCCGUCCAGCACUAUAUUAUACCGAAGUUUCUCUGAAACCUUAUAUGCACACGUUGGAAAAGCUGUGUCCCGUCCGAAGUUCUUAGAAUGUUUACCUGGCGUUGUCGGACCUCGUAGAAGACGUUAUAAAGACACCUCACUGUCGUUUGUUUCUUAUAGUCUCACGUCUAACCUCCGACUCCGGUGAAGGACUACUUUACUGGUUCAUACGAUCUCUUCUAUGUGUGAUAGACGAGAUGUAUAUACUGAACUACGCUAACGCUAACCACUUACUCAGAAGUCCGCUACUAGAAGAAAACCUCCAAACGUUCGCGUCGUUACUUUAAACGAACGUUGAUAUACUCUUCCUCGACGACUGACUAAGUAGUAUGGAAAUAUAUGUACCCAACUUUCUUUUACUGAACUCACGUUCCGUCGACCGUCAAGAACGACGUUCAUGAAAAGGACAAACUUCACAAACACUAAGAACUAUGACCGUAGAACUAGGAACUCUUCAAAAGAGGUGAACCUGUGUAUGUAACGCAAAAUAACUUUUACUUGUGUCAAGAAGGUCUGGGGUAUCAAGUCAGGAACACCUACGAAAGAAUAAAUAUGAUGUGACAACAUUCAACACGGACCAAAGAAAUUGAGGUCUACUAGAUGGAAUUACUUUUCUGUAAAAUUAAAAUAAAUACUGUAACUAGACAAAACACAAAAUACGGAGACGAACGGGUUACACGAUCUGACGAUAAACACUGAUGGAUUAUGAGUCAAUAUUCAACUUUACUUUAGUAAAGAUGGUAAGGAAUACAUCAACAAAGGGUAGUGUCCCAGAUAUAUUUACCUCUCUACCGCAGCGAGCACGACUCCUACUCUCGUGACCAAUAUAUAAUGGGUUAUUCUGAGAUGAACUUUAUCGGUUUGUCUACGGACACUGGUGACCCUCCAAUUUUUCUUGUCACUUCAGUUUUUUAUUUAAAGAACUCGUGAUAGAGCCUGUACAGUAAUGAUAGUAUUCCUUACGGCAGCGUUUACGGUUACGAAAACUUUCAUAUCGACUCGUUGACUUCUUUCCUUCCGACCUUCUCAAUUACCGCCGUCUUCGCUUCCUGCCGUCACUUCUGUGACUUUACUAAGGACGGCAGCUACGACUAUCAUUACUUUCAUUAGAAGUCGACUAACGACUUGGACUACAUCGAGGGUGUCACUAAUGUUUACAGGUAUGACGAAGAAAGACAUGACCCUUACAAUGCUCGCCUCGAAGAAAUCCAUUAAACGUUGAUCUAUUGUAGUGUGGACUUUGGUUCUCGAAACCCCGCAACGGUCCGCGAUGACCCGUUCGUCUAUGUCACUAUGGCUCGUUACCACCACCAGUCGUCGUUCAUUAUUUCCGUUGUCAAGUUCAUAGUUUCUCUGGAUGCCGAAAACCACGAGACAAUCCUUUUGGGAGAUGGCGUUCUUCCGGUUUAGAUAAAGGUCCUAAAAGUUCACUCGUCUCAUUUUCGUUCCACCUCUUCUAGUUCAGAAGGCACCAUGACGGAAAGGUAGUAAAGAGUCCACCACGUUUAGGAGGUCGUUGAUCGGAAGGUCAUCGUUUUAGCCGCCUUGGACUUCGCCUUUAGUACACGCUCCUAGGACGCAGAGCCUACCUCCUUCACUAAGUCGACCUGUGACCUUGUCUACUGGGUCUUUUGCCGUUGCGUCUACCUGUCUCGCUCACGUUUGGACCUCUGUGGUUACACAGAUCGAGGGGAGGACUCGAAAGGAGACCGUAGCUCGUCGCGAAGUCUAGGGAGUUGCUCUCGUCUCUGGAAGUUGUCUUCGUGGUUCGUGGCCUUCUUGGUCUUAAAUUACUAGUCGACUUCCGGAAGCUAAUGCGACUUCGAUCUUUCUUAUGAAGUAAACCUCUCCAAUCUAGACUCUCUUCUUUCCUGUUACAUCACCGGUCCCGAUAGUUACACCUAAGACCUCUAUUUGCCUUUUCAAACUUUGUUUGGGGGCCACGGCCACCACCCCUUCUCCUACUCCCCUUAAAGGUCUUAGGUGCUUCCGCUGUCCGAAAGGGUGGAAGACCGUUGUCCUCACGAUGCAUGGUAAUCAAUCAACUCUCUACAUGAUAGGCUGGCUCCGUAACAUACAUUGGAUUUCUCAUGUCCCCCUUCACCUUGUUGCGCGUACUAAACCGUAAGCAGCCGUUCAGUAACCUUU
This 3290-nucleotide ribosomal RNA is filed under the name Triticum aestivum (bread wheat). Its description in RNAcentral is "partial small subunit ribosomal RNA". Lineage: Eukaryota; Viridiplantae; Streptophyta; Magnoliopsida; Poales; Poaceae. The record is from RNAcentral.